UGACGUAAAAACUGGGAAGGCUUACGG
Molecule: small RNA, 27 nt
Filed under: Bombyx mori (domestic silkworm)
Lineage: Eukaryota; Metazoa; Arthropoda; Insecta; Lepidoptera; Bombycidae
Description: ovarian small RNA-31801
Source: RNAcentral